RNAcentral lists this transfer-messenger RNA (339 nucleotides) under bovine gut metagenome. RNAcentral describes it as "Alphaproteobacteria transfer-messenger RNA". It matches the Rfam family "Alphaproteobacteria transfer-messenger RNA". From Rfam's summary of the family: Bacterial tmRNA, also known as 10Sa RNA or SsrA, is named for its dual tRNA and mRNA-like properties. Its role is to liberate the mRNA from a stalled ribosome. The record is from RNAcentral.
UUUGAAAUAUAUACAAAAAAUGUUAUAAUAGAAACGUUAGAAAUAACUAUGAUGAUAAACGUCAUGAGUAAUAGGUACUGUGGACUCGGGGGCGGAGCCCGACACUUCCACCAGACUUAUGGGAGUGAAUAGAUUCGACAUGGGCUGAAAGGCAUGGCUUUCAUUCGGAGUGGUUUCCGUUAUAAAACCGAUAAAUAUAAAUGCGAACGGUAAUUUAGUCGCAGAGAACGAUAACGCAGAGAUGGCAAGCGUUAACGACAAUGUCAGAAGUGACGUUGCUUUAGCAGCCUAAUCUGAGGUAAGUGAUCGCGGUUUGGGGGCACCGGGCAACAGAAGCUC